UACUUGGAGCUUGAAAACACCUGGCGUGGUUCUCGGGGUCCCUAGAACCGUCAGCCACGGACUGGUCGGCUCUGGGGUUGUGGGCAGAAGGCUCUGAGCGGUCGGAAGGGUUUCCUGUGUGUCAGCAACUUCACUUUGCCGAGAGAGCUGGCGGAAGAGGGAAGGAGCGCUCGCAGGCCAAUCGCCUGCGAGCAGCCACCUUUGACUGAGCGCACCCCUCACCCUCGCCACUGACUCCGGUAGCAGCGUGCUGGUAGAGGCUGAACUCACUCGGCCUCGGCGGAGACCUGCUCCCCAGAAGACGCCUUCGCUUCCCGGUGCGCCCUGGGGGACGCGGACUGGCUGCUGGGGGAACUGGCGGAGGCACGCCCCUCGCCUCCCCGCGGAGCGCGGACUCGCCCCGGUGCCCAAACUCCGCCCAUCCUCACGAGAGCUUAGCUCUCCCGCCUAACCCCCCGCACUCCGGACGUAGCAGAGCCUGGGGAAAGGCUCCCUGAACUGCGGGGACGCCGAAUGGGACGCGCUCCAGAAGCGCACGAGUCUGCUGCCACGCGCGCUGCGAUGGCUACCAGGGGCUGAGCCCGGGGUGGGCAGAGGAAGCGGUUAGACACCCCGAAGCUGAGCUGCCCCUUUCUAAGGUAGGGAGGAGAAAGAUGCCAUAAUGAAGUUGAUCUUUGAGCCGAGGAGGCUGGGGAGCACUCUCCCCAGGCUAGAGCCCUGCAGAGCGAGUUUCGCCUGACCUCGCCGCGCCUCUGGCGCGCUCUCCAGCGCGGACCCGCGGCCCCUCGGGAAAGCGCAGUCGGAAAGUUAUCCGCGGCGGUGUCCUGCGCGCCCUGUUGUGUAACCUCGGCGUUGCCAGCGGACGGGGAAGUUGCUGGCCUGCCCGACAGCCAGUUCGGUGGCGGCCCGGGGCGGAUUUCAUGGCCCGCGGCGAACGCGGGGCUGGAGCCGGCGUGGGCAAGCCCCCGCGCGUCCCCUCCCGCGGGGAUCCCGCGAGCCCGCUCCCUUCCGCUUGCUGGGUUUUCCAAUGCUUGCUGCGUCCCUGGCCGCUGCUGCCCUCUCGCCGCCGCUUGCCCCUCGGAGCCGCCGCCUAAGUCGAGGAGGACAGAAUGACCGAGGUGCUGUGGCCGGCUGUCCCCAAUGGGACGGACGCUGCCUUCCUAGCCGGUCCGGGUUCGUCCUGGGGGAACAGCACGGUCCCCUCCACCGCUGCCGUCUCAGCGCCUUUCAAAUGCGCCCUGACCAAGACAGGCUUCCAGUUUUACUACCUGCCUACCGUCUACAUCUUGGUGUUCAUCAUCGGCUUCCUGGGCAACAGCGUGGCCAUCUGGAUGUUCGUCUUCCACAUGAAGCCCUGGAGCGGCAUCUCCGUGUACAUGUUCAACUUGGCUCUGGCCGACUUCUUGUACGUGCUGACUCUGCCAGCCCUGAUCUUCUACUACUUCAAUAAAACAGACUGGAUCUUCGGGGAUGUCAUGUGUAAACUGCAGAGGUUCAUCUUCCAUGUGAACCUCUAUGGCAGCAUCUUGUUUCUGACGUGCAUCAGUGCCCACCGGUACAGCGGUGUGGUGUACCCCCUCAAGUCCCUGGGCCGGCUCAAAAAGAAGAACGCGGUCUAUAUCAGCGUGCUGGUGUGGCUCAUCGUGGUGGUGGCGAUCUCUCCCAUCCUCUUUUACUCGGGUACCGGGGUCCGCAAAAACAAAACCAUCACCUGUUAUGACACCACCUCAGACGAGUACCUGCGAAGUUAUUUCAUCUACAGCAUGUGCACGACCGUGGCCAUGUUCUGUGUCCCCUUGGUGCUGAUUCUGGGCUGUUACGGAUUAAUUGUGAGAGCUUUGAUUUACAAAGAUCUGGACAACUCUCCUCUGAGGAGGAAAUCGAUUUACCUGGUGAUCAUUGUACUGACUGUUUUUGCUGUGUCUUACAUCCCUUUCCAUGUGAUGAAAACGAUGAACUUGAGGGCCCGGCUUGAUUUUCAGACCCCAGCAAUGUGUGCUUUCAAUGACAGGGUUUAUGCCACGUAUCAGGUGACAAGAGGUCUAGCAAGUCUCAACAGUUGUGUGGACCCCAUUCUCUACUUCUUGGCGGGAGAUACUUUCAGAAGGAGACUCUCCCGAGCCACAAGGAAAGCUUCCAGAAGAAGUGAGGCAAAUUUGCAAUCCAAGAGUGAAGACAUGACCCUCAAUAUUUUAUCAGAGUUCAAGCAGAAUGGAGAUACAAGUUUGUGAAGGCACAAGAAUCUCCAGACACCUCACUGUUGUAAUAUGGUAGGAUGCUUAAAGAACCAAGUGCUUCUCCCACCUUUAACUUUCUAGUCUCAGGAUGCUGGCUUAAUUUAGAGUAUGUGUUAAGUACAUUGUUUCAGAGUCCAGAGACCUUUGUGAAUGUGGAUCCAGUGAGGAGGUGAACAGUGACUAGAAAUGCUUAUUUACUAUUUGGCGUGUUUUUUUUCGAAGUGUUUCUUCUUUAGCUUCAUACUUCACAUAUGGACAUUGGUGACACGUGAAUGCAUGCCACAUAGUAACAAGAAUGAUCUUGCCAACUCCUUCCAGGACAAAAGAAGCCUCUGGGAAGAUGUGUGAAAAUGGUGAAAACAUACAGAGGGUCAGGAUGAAGCAGUGAUCUCUACUGGCUGAAAAACUGAUUCAGGUUGCAUGAUGACUGAAGUAUUUCAAUAGUAAAGGCAGAAAUGUGUUGGCUUUUGGAUAAAAAAAAACAGCUAAAAUUAUAGAACUUAUCACCUAACAAAAUUUCACACCACAAAAAUAUUUUAAUGGCAAAUUCAAGGUGUUUUACUGCUUACAAAUUGGCUUCUUUGACUCUUUGAACAUCAAUUUGUGUUUACAUUGAAAUGACAAAAAGACAAACUAAGAAGAAAUAUAGCAUGCAAGUCAGGAUUCAGAAUUAAAACCAUGAUGUUGCCACUCAGCCAGCUGUGUGACUGUUGACCCUUUCAAGACCGCUCAUGGAUUAAAAAGGUUGGAUGACAUCCAUUUGUUGAGGCCUUGGGGGAUAUGGUAAAGCAUGAAAACUAGACAGCCAGGAGUGUGUGAAAUCUGCUACUGUAUUUUCCAGGACUUCAUUCCACUCCUUGGCUAAAAAAUUCUUGUAAAUUUCACAGAUUAUGAGGUGGGCCUGUCACUUGUAAAUUGUCUCAAUCUACUCAGACAAGACGCUAAACUGUCUUUGGAUACUAUAAGUGUCAGUGCUUAUAGCAGCUGGAAUUUGGCUAAUGACAAUGUUUAAAGCUGUAAUACUAGUUGGUAUCUAUUGCAGCUUAAACUUUGCUGGUCAAAUUGUAGCUCUGGUAAUAGUAUUUAUUGAAGAAACUCACAGUCCUUCAGUUGUACAGAUUGAAAAACUUUCAUGAAAGAUCCAACAUACUAAUAAUGUAAAUUAUAUUUAUUACAAUGUAUAAUAUUGAUGUGUGAAACUGUUGUAUUUUACAAAAUAUAUGAUGCAUACCUAAAUGAGAGUUGUAUAUUACAGUGCUUUUCAGAUAUCAGUAUCUUGGAAUAUUUAAGUCUUCACACUUUUUGGUCUAAAAUGUGAAAAUGUUUCAUGAUCAAGUGAUUAAUUUUCCCUAGAAGUGCUUUUGCAUGUUUGCCUUUUUAUUUAAGUUUUUUCUAUAUAGACAUAAUUUGGUGUCAGACUAUUGUAAGAUCAAUAGUGCAUAUAAAAUAUCUUAGCCAAAUGGGGUCCGUAUUGUCUACAUUUUAUAUAUUAAAUAAAAGUUUUUCUUGUCUUUUCAGGAAGUUUAGAGUAGUGUCCCUAAAUAUGGUCAGAGCUUCCCUUUACAAAUACAAAAGUCUUAUUUUACAUUUAAAAUUAUCUAUCAUGUUUUAGCAGUUGAGUGGGAUGGGCAUUAUAUAUACAACAUUAGAAUGUAAGGAAAAACUUUAAGGAGAUGGGGAGAGAAAAAGGCAGCUGGUACAAUCAGUUACUGCUGCUUAGUUCUACCUAAUUUUCUGUGUUGCUUCUUAAGGUGAGAUAACAUAACCUUAACUCUUUUGAGAUGGAAUUUUUAAGUAACACACUACCAGCAAGUUCAACACUGCUAUUGAUUUUACUUAAAUUCCAAGUUUUAUAGUGAUAAUUGUAUAUUAUUUGGCUGCUGAAUUUUGUUACAGUUUUUUAUUCUGUUAUACAUGGUAUUAAACACAUUGUCACAAAUUAAUAUGAAGGUGAAUAUGUUACAUAUCAAAAUUUGUGAAUUUGAAUUAUAGUAUGUUUUAGUGCUUUUGCAAAAAAUGUUUAUUUUUAUAUUAUCUGUGAUUUAAUGUAGAUGAUUGAACUAGAUUUCGAGUGAUUGGCGCCGAUGAAUGAGUGGUAUGGAAACAGUGUUACUUGAUAUUUUGAGCUUUCUCAGGUUUAUCUGAAUCAGUGGUAGCUUAACAAAAUCCAGACUAAUUGUGGGUAAUUGUAUUUUUAAUAAAAGGAAAGUAUAUUUCCUAUAAUAGCAUAGUAUUGUUUGCAUGUAGGAGUAUGCAAAAUCUUGUGUGUCUGCAUGUGUGUGUGUGUGUGUGUGUGUGUAUCUUAGUGUGUGUAAGGCAUGGCAGCCAACUUUGUAUCUGCUAUUUUUAGUACCAGUAGAGCUUCAUAAUUGUGGUCACUAGAACUGUACUUACCAUGGACAAUUAAAACUGAAAAAGACUCAAUAAAACUAUGAAACAUGAUA
This is an RNA transcript of Cebus imitator (Panamanian white-faced capuchin), 4681 nucleotides long. It is a transcript of the gene named purinergic receptor P2Y1, with no coding region annotated. Lineage: Eukaryota; Metazoa; Chordata; Mammalia; Primates; Cebidae. The record is from RefSeq and is a predicted model, not a curated record. The transcript has 2 exons.